UGGGGAAUAUUGCGCAAUGGGGGGAACCCUGACGCAGCCAUGCCGCGUGAAUGAAGAAGGCCUUCGGGUUGUAAAGUUCUUUCGGUAAUGAGGAAGGGAUGUUGUUAAAUAGAUAGCAUCAUUGACGUUAAUUACAGAAGAAGCACCGGCUAACUCCGUGCCAGCAGCCGCGGUAAUACGGAGGGUGCGAGCGUUAAUCGGAAUAACUGGGCGUAAAGGGCACGCAGGCGGACUUUUAAGUGAGAUGUGAAAUCCCCGAGCUUAACUUGGGAACUGCAUUUCAGACUGGGAGUCUAGAGUACUUUAGGGAGGGGUAGAAUUCCACGUGUAGCGGUGAAAUGCGUAGAGAUGUGGAGGAAUACCGAGGGCGAAGGCAGCCCCUUGGGAAUGUACUGACGCUCAUGUGCGAAAGCGUGGGGAGCAAACAGGAUUAGAUACCCUGGUAGUCCACGCUGUAAACGCUGUCGAUUUGGGGAUUGGGCUAUAUGCUUGGUGCCCGAAGCUAACGUGAUAAAUCGACCGCCUGGGGAGUACGGCCGCAAGGUUA
Molecule: ribosomal RNA, 547 nt
Filed under: uncultured bacterium
Lineage: Bacteria
Description: bacterial SSU rRNA
Rfam family: Bacterial small subunit ribosomal RNA
Source: RNAcentral